Molecule: ribosomal RNA, 189 nt
Filed under: uncultured bacterium
Lineage: Bacteria
Description: partial 16S ribosomal RNA
Rfam family: Bacterial small subunit ribosomal RNA
Source: RNAcentral
CCUACGGGAGGCAGCAGUGAGGAAUAUUGGACAAUGGGUGAGAGCCUGAUCCAGCCAUCCCGCGUGAAGGAUGACGGUCCUAUGGAUUGUAAACUUCUUUUAUAUGGGGAUAAACCUACUUACGUGUAAGUAGCUGAAGGUACCAUAUGAAUAAGCACCGGCUAACUCCGUGCCAGCAGCCGCGGUAAU